Molecule: long non-coding RNA, 1686 nt
Organism: Danio rerio (zebrafish)
Lineage: Eukaryota; Metazoa; Chordata; Actinopteri; Cypriniformes; Danionidae
Source: Ensembl
AAUCUCAAAGUCUGGUGGGUGGACUUUUAGCUUAGCUUAGCAUACAUAAUUGAAUCAGAUUAGACCAUUAGCAUCUUGCUCAAUUUUAUGGUAUAAUUUUCCAAUUUAAAUCUUAAAUCUUCUGUAGUAACUUUGUGUACUAAGACUGAUGGAAAAUGAAAAGUUGCUAUUUUCUAGGCCGAUAUAGCUAGGAACUUUACUCUUGUUCUAGUGUAAUAAUCAAGGAACUUUGCUGACAUAUCCCGCUGUAGCCGCUAAGACAUUACACGGUGUUGUUACCUAGCUGGGGACUAUUUUCAGGAGCUGCAUAUUAUAAUCACAGCAAAGCCCCCUGAUUAUUACACCAGAGUGAGUGUAUAGUUCCUAAACAUAUCAGCUACAUUAGAUGCUAAUGGUCCAAUCUGUUUCAAUGAUUUAUGCUAAGCUAAGCUAAAAGUGCUCCCGCCACACUUGAAGAUUGGCUGUAAUGAUAAAACUCGACUGUUUAGCUCCUGGUCUCUUGAAAAAGGACUCCGUUUAUAAAAAAGAAAAAGUGGAGCGCUCCUUUUUGAUCACCCUAAAGGAAAUGACUGAAUCAUUAUACAUGUUUUAAUUCUUAACCUUAAAAGCUCACUGGUUGAAUAAGAUACCAUUGGAGAAACUGUGAGGUUGUUAAUGAAAGUCAGAAUCAAGGGCACUGUGCACAUUAAUGACACUAAAUAAAUGAGAGUUGUCCAUCUUGUUGUCAUGAUUGACGAUUUUAAAUUCGUAGAUGGUCCAUAGCAGUACAAAACAGGUGAAAUAUAUCCAUCCAUUCUGCCUUAUUUGACCCAUAAUCAUAAACUCAGCCUAAAACACACUCCAAGAUAAAGUCGCUGAGCAAAAACACUACAGUAUCAUCUGCUCAAGGAUGCCCAGUACACUGACUUCCCGAGACAUACAGUUGAUGUCGGGACUCGGGUCGGGCCAUUAUCUCAACUUCAGUUGAACUUCUUUUAGUUUAUUCAUUGUGUUUUAUGUAUGUUUCAGGGUUUUAUUUUUUUAUUAUAAUAAUAAUAAUAUAUCAAAUAUAUAUGGAAUCUAUUCUAAAGCGGGUGUUGCAUGAAUGUAUGUUUAAAUGGGGAAAUUAUAUAUAAAUGAAUAAAAAAAGCAAAGAUUAUUAUGAAUGCUGAUUGCAGAUUAACAGACUUCAGUUCAACAAGAGUUUUUGGAUAUUUUUUAUUUCUUCUUUCUCCCUCCAUGACCUUUAUACCCUUGAUUUAGCCGGUCUUUGCUCUCUCAGUCUUGAUGCUGUAGCUCUAUUGCUGCAGCGCUGCCUUUUAUUCAAAACACUGAUCUGAGAACAGAGCGUAUAGGAGACUUCAGCGCAUUAUAUAUUCUUCUCAAACACCCAUUUCUUUAGCUCCUUAUCAUACUCCUACACUGAUUAUUAUGUUGCUAUUGUUGUUUUAAAUACGUUUUCUUCAUGUGCACUUAAAAUUAAAACUAUAUUUUGGGGGGGAAAAAACACAAAAAAACAAGGAAAAUGUGUGACAUUUGGAUGAAAACCAUUUUUUUCAUAUUCAUUUGUUGGUUUCAUCAUUGGCAUCGGAUGCUGUAAUGUUAGAAGAAUUUAAAAAUGACAAUGUAAAAUCCUGUAUCAUUUAUGAAAUGUGUAUAAAAGAGAAAUGUAAUUCAAUUAUCAAUAAAUACUUAUCCAAUUUUGGA